Molecule: long non-coding RNA, 638 nt
Organism: Oncorhynchus tshawytscha (Chinook salmon)
Lineage: Eukaryota; Metazoa; Chordata; Actinopteri; Salmoniformes; Salmonidae
Source: Ensembl
GUCAACAGGUCAUCUUACUGAACAGGUCAACAGGUCAUCUUACUGAACAGGUCCACAGGUCAUCUUACUGAACAGGUCAACACAGGUCAUUUUGGUCAACAGGUCAUCAUACUGAACAGGUCAACACAGGUCAUCUUGGUCAACAGGUCAUCAUACUGAACAGGUCAAUGGGUCAUCUUACUGAACAGGUCAACAGGUCAUCUUACUGAACAAGUCAACUUACAGAACAUGUCAUCUAACUUAACAGGUCAUCUUCUUGAACAGGUCACCUUACUGAACAGGUAAACCGGUCAUCUUACUGAACAGGUCAAUGAUCAGUAAGAUUGUAUCUUGUCAAAAACACAUUUUUCCAGAAUUUUACUAAGGGUUGGUAACAGGCUGAUUGGUCGGCUUUUUGAGCCAGUAAAGGGGGCUUUACUAUUCUUAGGUAGUGGAAUGACUUUAGCUUCCCUCCAGGCCUGAGGACACACGCUCUCUAGUAGGCUUAAAUUGAAGAUAUGGCAAAUAGGAGUGGCAAUAUCGUCUGCUAUUAUCCUCAGUAAUGUUCCAUCCAAGUUGUCAGACCCCAGUGGCUUGUCAUUGUUGAUAGACAACCAUAAUUUGUUCCUCUUCUACACUCACUUAACAGAACUCGAAAU